Molecule: ribosomal RNA, 429 nt
Filed under: Chloroflexota bacterium
Lineage: Bacteria; Bacillati; Chloroflexota
Description: Chloroflexi bacterium partial 16S ribosomal RNA
Rfam family: Bacterial small subunit ribosomal RNA
Source: RNAcentral
UGGGGAAUAUUGCACAAUGGGCGCAAGCCUGAUGCAGCCAUGCCGCGUGUGUGAAGAAGGCCUUCGGGUUGUAAAGCACUUUCAGCGGGGAGGAAGGCGUUAAGGUUAAUAACCUUGGCGAUUGACGUUACCCGCAGAAGAAGCACCGGCUAACUCCGUGCCAGCAGCCGCGGUAAUACGGAGGGUGCAAGCGUUAAUCGGAAUUACUGGGCGUAAAGCGCACGCAGGCGGUCUGUCAAGUCGGAUGUGAAAUCCCCGGGCUCAACCUGGGAACUGCAUUAGAAACUGGCAGGCUAGAGUCUUGUAGAGGGGGGUAGAAUUCCAGGUGUAGCGAUGAAAUGCGUAGAGAUCUGGAGGAAUACCGGUGGCGAAGGCGGCCCCCUGGACAAAGACUGACGCUCAGGUGCGAAAGCGUGGGGAGCAAACAGG